UCAGAUGAAUUGACUGAUCAACUUCUUUAGUCCAUGCCUCAAAUCUUGAUGAAUUGAUGAUUGAGGACACUCAAAUAAGCUCAAAUAUGCAUGAAAUGAUAAAUGGAAGAACUUCCCUUGAUUGUAUUUGAUCAUGGGUUGAGGUUGCUUCAUGAGCAAGACACAGUUGAUGAACAGAUGGAUUAGGGUUUCCUUGGGAAACAAGCCUCAAGCCCUUUUGGUUUGCUUUGAUCAAAAUGAUGAAUUCAGAUACUUGGGAGGCA
This 263-nucleotide long non-coding RNA is filed under the name Lathyrus oleraceus (garden pea). Its description in RNAcentral is "Pisum sativum (pea) long non-coding RNA (PSAT_LNC006380)". The record is from RNAcentral. Lineage: Eukaryota; Viridiplantae; Streptophyta; Magnoliopsida; Fabales; Fabaceae.